AGACGUCUACAUUAGACUACCCGGUAGUCCCAGCCGUAAACUAUGCGCGUUAGGUGUAUCGGUGACCACGAGUCACCGAGGUGCCGAAGGGAAACCGUGAAACGUGCCGCCUGGGAAGUACGGUCGCAAGGCUGAAACUUAAAGGAAUUGGCGGGGAGCACCACAACGGGUGGAGCCUGCGGUUUAAUUGGACUCAACGCCGGGAAGCUCACCGGAUAAGACAGCGGAAUGAUUGCCGGGCUGAAGACUCUGCAUGACUAGCUG
RNAcentral lists this ribosomal RNA (264 nucleotides) under uncultured archaeon. Its description in RNAcentral is "partial 16S ribosomal RNA". It matches the Rfam family "Archaeal small subunit ribosomal RNA", at positions 717 to 982 of the family's 1478-position model. The record is from RNAcentral.